RNAcentral lists this long non-coding RNA (199 nucleotides) under Elaeis guineensis (African oil palm). RNAcentral describes it as "long non-coding RNA (EGUI_LNC001174)". The record is from RNAcentral. Lineage: Eukaryota; Viridiplantae; Streptophyta; Magnoliopsida; Arecales; Arecaceae.
CCUCAUAAAAUUACUAUUUGUACAGAUAUUUUUAUAUUUUUUUUACACACCUACCUAUAAAAAUAUUUUAAUCAUUUAAUUUUAAACAAUUAAGUUUUUAACGAUAUUAAAUGAUAUGGAUACAUGUAAAAAAAUUAAAAAAAGAUAUACAUACAAAAUAAAUAUUUUAGUAUACAUACAAAUUAAUUUUGAAAGAAUA